GGAAAUAUACUUUAAAGAUAAGAAGAAUUAGUUUGCAUCUAAUAAGUGAAUAUUGUGAAAUGUUCUAUUUCCA
This 73-nucleotide transfer RNA is filed under the name Radix swinhoei. Its description in RNAcentral is "tRNA-Ala". The record is from RNAcentral. Lineage: Eukaryota; Metazoa; Mollusca; Gastropoda; Lymnaeidae.